RNAcentral lists this long non-coding RNA (684 nucleotides) under Olea europaea subsp. europaea. Lineage: Eukaryota; Viridiplantae; Streptophyta; Magnoliopsida; Lamiales; Oleaceae. The record is from RNAcentral.
CGGAGAUGGUGGAGGCGGAGUGCGUGGAGGUUGUAGGGAAACGAGCGGUGGCGGUGGAGGUGGAGGUGGAGGGUGGAAAACGUGUGGCGGAGGAGGCUUCACAUUUUGUUGAGACUCCACAAUGAGUGGAAAGAAACCAACGAAAAACCCAGAACUAGCAAUCAGCAAAGUGAACAAUGGCAAAUCCAUAUAUUCAUACCAAUCGACAGGUCAUGCAAAAUCUGUUUCUUUAAAUCCUCCCCACGUCUGGGUUGUUUUCAAACCCUUAAAAGUCUUCUACUGUUCAAGAAUAUCAAAUCUUUAUCCAUGUGCAUUUUUUUCAAAUAAACUUGCUUGAAAUUUGAAAUUAUUCUCUGGAACUGGCGAUCACGGCUUCCUGGCGAAGAUCUUGGUUCCCCCAGAAUCGAACCCAAGGUUGAUUUUUUUUUUUGGAAAAGGAAGGGAUUUUACAAGAACUGUCCCAAGAUUAUCCUAGAAACUAGGAUUUAGUCAAUAACUGAUUCAGUAAUCUUGAUCAGUGAUAGAAAUACUGAAGUAAACUAAAUAUAAUGGAUACUGAAUGCGAUUUUUUCGCCAAAAUUCUCUUCUUCCAGAAUGUAAGGGAGAGAGAUGGCCGACAACGAUUGGUCUUCUGAGUACUUGGAUUUGUUUAAUGAGUUGUGCUGGGUGCACGGCAAUUACCCA